ACCCUAUUCAUUGCGGGUUGGUUAUUUGUCAGUACGAGUUUAGCUUAUGACGUGUUUGGAAGUCCUAGGCCAAACGAGUAUUUCACAAAAAGCCGACAAGGAAUUCCGUUAAUAACCGACUGUUUUGAUUCUUUAGAACAACUCGAUGAAUUUAGUAGAUCCUUUUUGGAGGCCCUCAAUAACCAUAGAUCGAACCUAUCCUAUUUUUAUAGUGCGAUGGCUGGCUAUUCACGGACUAGUUGGACCUACAGUUUUUUCUUGGGAUCAAUAUCAGCAAUGCAGUUCAUCCAACGAUAA
This 297-nucleotide ribosomal RNA is filed under the name Triticum aestivum (bread wheat). RNAcentral's name for it is "partial small subunit ribosomal RNA". The record is from RNAcentral. Lineage: Eukaryota; Viridiplantae; Streptophyta; Magnoliopsida; Poales; Poaceae.